Sander lucioperca (pikeperch) is the source of this 92-nucleotide long non-coding RNA. RefSeq lists it as uncharacterized. The record is from RefSeq and is a predicted model, not a curated record. The transcript is spliced from 3 exons. Lineage: Eukaryota; Metazoa; Chordata; Actinopteri; Perciformes; Percidae.
GACGGCGGGAAAGAAGGGUAAAAUACGGGACUUUCCCGGCCAAAACGGGAUACUUGACAGGUAUGGUUUGAAGGUCAGAGUAGGAAUAAAAA